GAACCUCUCCCUCCUCCUACUCCAAGAAGUGAGAUGCUUCAGACUGAGGGGUCCAUAUCUCCCAUCAUGCUCUUGGAUGAAAGAGUGGGCGUGGCUAAUGACCAGCCCCAGCGAGUCGUCCUCGGGGCACCAGGAAGACGAGCGCAGUCUCCGACACACACAUCGGCAAACGCAGAAACACUCCCACAAACACUCCCACUCACACACACACACACACUCACACACACCAGCCACGGAGAGCGCAUCGGCCGCCUUGAGGAGCGGCUAGAUGGAGUUAACACCAUGCUGGAGAUGCUGAAGAACCAGAACGUGGAGCUGGCUGAGCGUGUGCGGUCCCUGGAGGAGUGUGAGUGUGUGAAGCGUGUGUGUGUGUGGGAAGAUGCUGAAGUCGAGUCUGGGAAGAGUUGGGAGACUGACACACACUCUCUGUGCACCUGCACCAACGGACAGGUUCACUGCUCCACUCCAUACGAUUCUGCUUUGCAUGGCCGUGGUACUCUGGCUGUCCUCUUGGCUCCGCCCCUGUGACCUGUCCCGACCUCUGUCAGUCAGCUCGUUGUCGGGGGCAACCAGGAGCGGUGUGUCACAUGAUCACAUGUGGCUCCUGCCACACUCAGUGGGUGGAGCCUAACAGUGGCCAGCCAAUCGAGUGCCAGGAUUGGUGAACAUGCACACACAUACACACUCACACAAACACACACACACACACACACACACACACACACACACACACAUACACACAUACACACACACACACACACACUCUCACACACACACACACACACACACACACACACACUGACAGAAGAGGAGACUAUGACUUAUUUCUGUUUGGCACUGGGGUGCAUCCGUGAUGUGUGUGCGAAAAUAUCAGUGAUUUGUGUGUCAGAGUGUGACAGUGUGUGUGAUGCCUCUGAACUGAAGUAUUUGGGUGCACGGGUUAAAGUACUUCCUGUGGAGUGGUCAGGAGUUGUCUGUAGUGAGGUAUUAGUAAGUAAAAGAACUUCUUGGUCAAAUGUGUUUGUCAUGAAUCAUUGCUCAGUGUAUCAUUUAGCCUUGCGCCAUAUAUGAGCUGUGCUUGGCAUGUGUGUGUAUUACUGUGUUGGGGACUGUGCGUGGUAUGUGUGUGAUGUGUGUGUGUGUGUCUGUGCUUGGUCUGUGUGGUGUGUGUGUGUGUGUGUGUGUGUCUUUGUGUUUCGUGUUAUGUAUGUGUGUGUCUGUGCGUAGUAUGUGUGUGAUGUGUGUGUGUGUCUGUGCGUGUUAUGUGUUGUGUGUGUGCGUGUAUGUGUGUGAUGUGUGUGUGUGUCCGUGCGUGUUAUGUGUGUAUGUUUGUGUCUUUGCGUGGUAUGUGUGUGAUGUGUGUGUGUGUGUCUGUGUGUGUUAUGUGUGUGUGUGUGUCUUUGCGUGGUAUGUGUGGUGUGUGUGUGUAUCUGUGCUUGGUAUGUGUGUGAUGUGUGUGUGUGUCUGUGUGUGUUAUGUGUGUGUGUGUGUGUCUUUGCGUGGUGUGUGUGUGUGUCUGUGCUUGGUGUGUGUGGUGUGUGUGUCUGUGAGUGGUGUGUGUGGUGUCUGUGAGUGGUGUGUGUGUGUGUGUGAGUGGUGUGUGUGUGUAUGGUGUGUGUGUCUGUGCGUGUUAUGUGUGGUGUGUGUGCGUGUGUGUGUGUGUGUGUGUGUGCGUGUCUGUGAGUGGUGUGUGUGUGUGUGUACCACUUUGUAUUUGGAUGUGUAGUGUGAAUGAUCAUGUGUGAUUAUGUUCUUCAAAUAUCUCACGGGAAAUGUGGUUGGCCUCUUGUCUCUCCCUCCCUCCCUCUCUGUCUCCCUCCCUCUCUGUCUCUCCCCCCC
Clupea harengus (Atlantic herring) is the source of this 1839-nucleotide long non-coding RNA. NCBI's taxonomy places the organism in Eukaryota, Metazoa, Chordata, Actinopteri, Clupeiformes, Clupeidae. The record is from Ensembl.